GACGAACCGAGCGAACGUUGUUCGGAAUCACUGGGCUUAAAGGGUGCGUAGGCGGCUUGUCAAGUCAGGGGUGAAAUCUUUCGGCUCAACCGGAAAAGUGCCCUUGAUACUGACAGGCUCGAGGGAGGUAGGGGCAUGUGGAACUUCUGGUGGAGCGGUGAAAUGCGUUGAUAUCAGAAGGAACGCCGGUGGCGAAAGCGACGUGCUGGACCUCUUCUGACGCUGAGGCGCGAAAGCUAGGGGAGCAAACGGG
RNAcentral lists this ribosomal RNA (253 nucleotides) under uncultured bacterium. RNAcentral describes it as "partial 16S ribosomal RNA". It matches the Rfam family "Bacterial small subunit ribosomal RNA", at positions 524 to 776 of the family's 1533-position model. The record is from RNAcentral.